AGGAUGAACGCUGGCGGCGUGCCUAAUACAUGCAAGUCGAGCGGUAAGGCUCCUGCAGAUUGUUCGAUACAUACGGAAAUGGGAAGGCUCCCAAAUCUGAUCGAAUAAUGUGCUGGAGUACACGAGCGGCGGACGGCUGAGUAACACGUAGGAACGUACCCCAAACUGAGGGAUAAGCACCAGAAAUGGUGUCUAAUACCGCAUGUGCUCUUCGGAGUAAAGCUACGGCGGUUUGGGAACGGCCUGCGCAAGAUUAGCUUAGGUUGGUAGAGGUAAUAGCUCACCAAGGCGACGAUCUUUAGCUGGUCUGGAGAGGAUGACCAGCCAGACUGGGACUGACGACCGGCCAGACUCCGUACGGGAGGCAGCAGGUAGGAAUCUACCAACAAGUGGACGAC
This 398-nucleotide ribosomal RNA is filed under the name uncultured soil bacterium. RNAcentral's name for it is "bacterial SSU rRNA". It matches the Rfam family "Bacterial small subunit ribosomal RNA", at positions 26 to 381 of the family's 1533-position model. The record is from RNAcentral.